RNAcentral lists this ribosomal RNA (254 nucleotides) under uncultured bacterium. Its description in RNAcentral is "partial 16S ribosomal RNA". It matches the Rfam family "Bacterial small subunit ribosomal RNA", at positions 524 to 776 of the family's 1533-position model. The record is from RNAcentral.
UACGUAGGGGGCAAGCGUUGUCCGGAUUCAUUGGGCGUAAAGAGCUCGUAGGCGGCUUGGCAAGUCGGGUGUGAAAACUCCAGGCUCAACCUGGAGACGCCACCCGAUACUGCUAUGGCUUGAGUCCGGUAGGGGACCACGGAAUUCCUGGUGUAGCGGUGAAAUGCGCAGAUAUCAGGAGGAACACCGGUGGCGAAGGCGAGUCCCUGGACGAUACCUGACACUGAGGCACGAAAGCUAGGGGAGCAAACAGG